Molecule: ribosomal RNA, 397 nt
Filed under: uncultured bacterium
Lineage: Bacteria
Description: bacterial SSU rRNA
Rfam family: Bacterial small subunit ribosomal RNA
Source: RNAcentral
GGAAUAUUGCACAAUGGGGGAAACCCUGAUGCAGCGACGCCGCGUGAGUGAAGAAGUAUUUCGGUACGUAAAGCUCUAUCAGCAGGGAAGAAAAUGACGGUACCUGACUAAGAAGCCCCGGCUAACUACGUGCCAGCAGCCGCGGUAAUACGUAGGGGGCAAGCGUUAUCCGGAUUUACUGGGUGUAAAGGGAGAGUAGACGGCAUUGCAAGUCCGGAGUGAAAGCCCACGGCCCAACCGUGGGACUGCUCUGGAAACUGUAGAGCUGGAGUGCGGGAGGGGCAGGCGGAAUUCCUAGUGUAGCGGUGAAAUGCGUAGAUAUUAGGAGGAACACCGGCGGCGAAGGCGGCCUGCUGGACCGUAACUGACGUUGAGGCUCGAAAGCGUGGGGAGCAAA